Molecule: long non-coding RNA, 2851 nt
Organism: Panonychus citri (citrus red mite)
Lineage: Eukaryota; Metazoa; Arthropoda; Arachnida; Trombidiformes; Tetranychidae
Exons: 3
Source: RefSeq, a predicted model, not a curated record
UGUGAUAACUUCUCUGACACUACAACCAAAAUCUGUGGGUAUUCACAUUCAAAUUAACUGCUUAUCUAUCCAAUAUAAUCAAAGAGAGAUCAACUUGUGAAUAUUGAUACUAAUGGAGGACAAUAGUAAAUAAUACAUUACAAAGACACAUCAUCAUCACCACCACCACAGAUUAUAUCUAUAAGAAGGUCUCCUUUUGCUGUUUGGUGUCAAUGUCAAUGACUAAAGGUGAUGAUAGUAAUGGUGAUCAAGAACAAGAUUAACUAAUGAGUAAAACAAGAUACAAAAAGAAGCAGCAAAAAAAAUAAUCUAAAAAUCUCAGAUUACAGAGGAAGGCGACAAGUUACCAUUAUCAUCUUUCCUCUUCCGUUUUUAUACUUGAUCAUCCUGAUGAUCAAUUUUUCUUCUGUUAAACUAACCAAUCAUCUAACAAAGUGUCAACACAAACAACUCCACCACCACCAGAACAACAACAACAACAACAUCAUCAUCUAAAUCAAACAAAUAAUCAUCCCCAAAGUGAUACAACAGAGGAAAUACAAUAUAGAAACACUUUAUUAUUAAUUACAGAGUGAUUCAUUGGAUGGUGUGGAUAACAAAAUAUCAAAUGCUCUAUUAGAUUAUGAUGAUGAUGAUGAUGAUGACAGUGAUAAUGUUAUUAUGAGAAAGCCUUUUUCUACUCAACUCUCUCGUUCUCUAAGUGGUAAAAAAUGGAGUAUAGGUAAUAAGGUUUGAUAAACAGAAAACCUAUACACUUGGAAUGUUAUUCAACUGAGUCAACGAUUUAUUUGUGGAGAAGAUCAAAGUUACAGUGACUACCAAAAGAGAUGAUAUUGGAAACGUACAGGUUACCUGGAAGAAAAGAACAGUCAGUUAAAUGCGAAAAUGGUUAAAGAUGGAGAGACUUUACUGCUCUCUCUCUCUCUCUCUCUUUUCUACGUUCAGUUAAUACUUUAUUUACCUGAAUCUCUUUCCCAGUUUACCUAUUUCUUUUUUUUAUUUUCUCUUUUCUUCUCUUUCUAUUCCAACGAAAAGGUUACUCUUGCAUCUCUCCAUCUUGGUUUUUAUUCUUAACCACCACUUGGGUAAACGGUGAGUUGUUUUUGUUUUGUAGAAAAAAAAGAAGAAGAGAAAAUCAAAUGAAAAGUAAGCCAGAUGACGAUUGAAUCCAAUAAGAAGGAGGAUAAAUAACAACCUGAACAGGGACGUAAACAACAGACUCUGUGUAUUCACUUCCUGAGGUGCUUUCGGUCAUCAUCAUCUCAUUAUACUCUUAUCAUCAUCUUCACUUUAAACAUUGAAAAACACUUUCACGAUCGUUGAUUCAUCUAAUUGUUUACACUUCUGAAUGGUUGGAAAAAAGCUGAGCAAUAAAAUAUAUAAAUCGUUUCACCAUGGAAAGUAAUUAAUUCAUAUUAAUUACACUGGAAACAAUCAAUUAAUCAUGAGAGAGAGAGAGAGCAAAAUACCGAAGGCAAAAAAGGAUGAAAAAAUAAGGUAACCAUUGAGACCCGAUGAAAGUGAAACUUGAAUAAUGAAACUAUUAAGGUUAUAUGAAUGAAUGAAUUGGGAUGAUUAUGUUAUCACCAUGAAUAUGAAUUGAUGGUGGAUUUUUUUAUUUGCCCACCAUGAGAAAUGAUAAACAAUCUGUUUGAAAUGAAAUGAUAACUGAGUGGGAAAAACAGUUUCCACUGUUGAAAAAAAAGUUCCGCAGUGGGAAAAGUUUUGAUUCAUAUUUUGAUGAUGAAGUUAAAGCAAGUGGAAAGUGAGAUUGAUAAAUGAUUGGGAUGCGGAAGAGACAAAAAAAAACGUUAUCACUUUUUUCCUAUGUCCUUUUAUCAUCAUUAUGGACAAGAUGAUAUUGAUGAGGAUGAGGAUGAGGAUGAUAAAUGAUAUAACUGUAAACCGAUGAUUCAGAAUGUAAAUUUUGUUUCGUAACAAAUUGUUGUUUAUAUUUACGAUUAAUGUUACAUGAUGAUGAUGAUGAUGAUGAUGAUAAUUGGGAUUGAACACCUUUGACUUUAAUGAUGAUAGUGACUCUCUGAUGAUCAUCAAUCAUCUGUAAAUAAUGAUGAUGAUAAUGAGGUGAAAAUGUUUGACUUGGAAAGUGAUGAUAAUGAUGAUGAGGAUAAACAGUUAGUUUUUGGUGACCUUUUUGGGCUUUGAUAAAAAGAGUUGAAAGUUGAUAUAUAUUGAUAACGAGGUGGAGAAAAGGUUGAUGAUGAAGGAUGAUAAAAGUAUGGAGAGUGGGAGGAUGAUGAUGAUAAUGAUGAAGAUGGAGGAUUGUAAAGGAAGGGAGGAGUUAAGGAUUGAAGGACUAAGGGAUAACUAAUAGUGGUCAUUUUGAUUUAUAACUGUUGUUGGUCAGUCAGUGAAUCUCAAUUAAUGGAGGAGAGAUAGAGAGAGUGAGUGAGAGAGGUGAUGGUGAUGGUGAUGGUGGUUAACCAUCAUCUUCAUUAUCAUUUAAAGGAUGAAAUUGAAGAUAAAAUUAUCUUCUUCAUCUUCUACUCUUAAACCCACCCCACCUCGAUUCUCCUCCUCUAUUGGAUUAACUGUUAAAUUAGAUUUUGACAAAAAGGCUUUCCGAUUGACCUUAACCCUUAACUGACCUUCACUAACCUAACAUUUGGUCAUCAUUUAUUUAUAACUGACCAUUGGUCAGUAAAAGUAUUAUAUUUAUCAUUAUUGUCUCCAUUAGAUGAUGAUAUCAUAUGAUUAGUUAAUUGUGUUUUCCGUUUUACUUGAAACAAUUAAAACUUUUCCCUUUCAAUUGUUAAUCUAAAGUUAAUCUUGGAUUAUGAUUUUAAUUGUACUUGACUUUUGUUAUUUUAUUAUUAAAUCAUAUUGAUUG